UCUCAUUGUGAUGUAGACCAA
RNAcentral lists this non-coding RNA (21 nucleotides) under Caenorhabditis elegans. The record is from RNAcentral. Lineage: Eukaryota; Metazoa; Nematoda; Chromadorea; Rhabditida; Rhabditidae.